RNAcentral lists this ribosomal RNA (495 nucleotides) under uncultured bacterium. RNAcentral describes it as "partial 16S ribosomal RNA". It matches the Rfam family "Bacterial small subunit ribosomal RNA", at positions 28 to 507 of the family's 1533-position model. The record is from RNAcentral.
GACGAACGCUGGCGGCGUGCCUAAUACAUGCAAGUAGAACGCUGAAGGAGGAGCUUGCUUCUCUGGAUGAGUUGCGAACGGGUGAGUAACGCGUAGGUAAUCUACCUGGUAGCGGGGGAUAACUAUUGGAAACGAUAGCUAAUACCGCAUAAGAGUAGAUGUCGCAUGACAUUUGCUUAAAAGGUGCAAUUGCAUCACUACCAGAUGGACCUGCGUUGUAUUAGCUAGUUGGUGAGGUAACGGCUCACCAAGGCAACGAUACAUAGCCGACCUGAGAGGGUGAUCGGCCACACUGGGACUGAGACACGGCCCAGACUCCUACGGGAGGCAGCAGUAGGGAAUCUUCGGCAAUGGACGGAAGUCUGACCGAGCAACGCCGCGUGAGUGAAGAAGGUUUUCGGAUCGUAAAGCUCUGUUGUAAGAGAAGAACGAGUGUGAGAGUGGAAAGUUCACACUGUGACGGUAUCUUACCAGAAAGGGACGGCUAACUACGUG